This 293-nucleotide signal recognition particle RNA is filed under the name Microcebus murinus (gray mouse lemur). RNAcentral describes it as "Metazoan signal recognition particle RNA (ENSMICG00000027134.2)". It matches the Rfam family "Metazoan signal recognition particle RNA". Rfam says of the family: The signal recognition particle (SRP) is a universally conserved ribonucleoprotein. It is involved in the co-translational targeting of proteins to membranes. The record is from RNAcentral. Lineage: Eukaryota; Metazoa; Chordata; Mammalia; Primates; Cheirogaleidae.
ACCAGGCAUAGUGGCCCAUGCUUGUAAUCCCAGCUACUCGGAAGGUGGAGCCAGGAGGAUAGCUUGAGCCCAGGAGUUCUGGGCUAUAGUGUGCCAUGCAUUAGGUGUCUUCACUAAGUUUGGCAUCAAUAUGGUGACCUCCUGGGAAUGGAGGACCACCAGAUUACCUGAGGAGGGGUGAACCUGCCCAGGUCAGAAAUGGAGUCAAAACCCUCAUGCUGAUCAGUAGUGGGACCGUGCCUGUGAAUAGGCACUGCACUCCGGCCUGGGCAGCAUAGCGAGACACUGCCUCU